Molecule: ribosomal RNA, 432 nt
Filed under: uncultured bacterium
Lineage: Bacteria
Description: partial 16S ribosomal RNA
Rfam family: Bacterial small subunit ribosomal RNA
Source: RNAcentral
ACGAACGCUGGCGGCAUGCCUAACACAUGCAAGUCGCACGAGACCUUCGGGUCUAGUGGCGCACGGGUGCGUAACGCGUGGGAAUCUACCCUCAGGUUCGGAAUAACUCAGAGAAAUUUGAGCUAAUACCGGAUGAUGACGUAAGUCCAAAGAUUUAUCGCCUGAGGAUGAGCCCGCGUAGGAUUAGGUAGUUGGUGAGGUAAAGGCUCACCAAGCCGACGAUCCUUAGCUGGUCUGAGAGGAUGAUCAGCCACACUGGGACUGAGACACGGCCCAGACUCCUACGGGAGGCAGCAGUGGGGAAUAUUGGACAAUGGGCGAAAGCCUGAUCCAGCAAUGCCGCGUGAGUGAUGAAGGCCUUAGGGUUGUAAAGCUCUUUUACCCGGGAUGAUAAUGACAGUACCGGGAGAAUAAGCUCCGGCUAACUCCGUG